This 798-nucleotide long non-coding RNA is filed under the name Triticum aestivum (bread wheat). Its description in RNAcentral is "long non-coding RNA (TAES_LNC021324)". The record is from RNAcentral. Lineage: Eukaryota; Viridiplantae; Streptophyta; Magnoliopsida; Poales; Poaceae.
CCCAGAGUCGAAGGCUCGGUGGACAAAGGAGAUCGACCGGCUUCUCUCUGUCACCGAUUUCAUCAUCGAGUUCAUUCCUUCACGCCAGGUGGCCGAGGAUGGCAGCACCAUGGAGGUCAGAAACGAAUCACCUACCCUUAUUUUCAUCACACAUGGUUGGUUAUGUUGCUUUGGAGGUCCUACAAAGAAAAUAAAUUUGUUAUUACAAUGAAGGUGAUGACUAUUUCAAUUGCGUGAGUUCAUAGUGUUACCUUCAUCACUGCCCCCUUAACCCUAACCAAGAUAAAGAUGUUAAAAUAGAUCGAAGUGGAACAAACACAUUUCACCAUGCCCAUAGCAACCAAUUUUCCAAACUCUUCAUGUUGAUUCAUAAUCAACUGGCACAACAAAACCACACUAUCAGCUUUUGGGGUUUUCCGCACUAUAAUAUAUAAUGUAUAUUUAAAAUGUAAUUAGUAAUGUCUCUAGUAAGGUCCAUGUGUCCUCAUUUGAUAGUGAAAUGAAUUCCACUAUAGCAUAGUCAUCCUACAGGUAUUCCAAGCAUCUCUGAGAAUUCUUACCAGGAUCCAAAUGACCGACCACUCUCCACAUAUAUGUAGAUUGUAGUAAACGACACGGAUAUGCCUGCAGGUUGUGUCAUUUAAGCACUAAAUAUGAAAACAAAAGAAAAAUGGAAGGUACAAUGUAUGAAUAGUAAACAGGAUGUGUUUACCUAAAACAUUUACAGAAAAUUUCCUCUGGUGUACAUAGUCUCCUUAAAGAACAAGAAUUUUUCCAACCUCCAAGUAAAUGGCGGAC